GGAUGCUGCGUUCCCACGCGCGCUUCGGGGCGGGGCGGAACGGGGCGGAACGGGGCGGGCGAUGCUUGUAGCCGGCAGUUCUCGCCUGGCAGCUCUCGGAAGUCGAUGGUAGCCGCGAUGUGGGCCGGGGUCCGCGACCUGGUGCGGACUUGGGAGCGUUCGCACGGUUCGCGAUGGCGGAGAACCGUGGGGCUUUGAGGGUUGCAGUCUGAGGCGAACCUGGGGGCUUUUGUGGACUUGUUUCUCAGGUUUUUCUUUAGUGGUGUAAUGUUAGGCAAAGCCCUGACUUCUUUUGAGUUUUCUUUCUUCUCCUUUCUAAAAUGGCUCCUGUCUAUAAUUUAUGUGACUGUGUUGUUGCAUUAACAAACUUGCCACGAUUGCUUUUGAUUGAGCUAAAGGCGACUGACAGGUUCAUUGAAAGGUUUUUUUUUCCCCGCCCAUAACCCGAAUCUUUCCAGAGCCUGCACGGGAAGGGGAAGUGCGAAUGUGUUUGGGUGAAAAUGAGACGGCGGUUGUGAAGCGCAUAGUACACAGUGGCGAGACUAGCAAAUGGGAGCCCAGCAAUGCAAACACAAUUUCCCUACUCUGAGAAAUGAGAGUAAUUGCCGUGCUGGGAAGAAGCCAUCAAUAAAGGUAAGAUGCAGAAGAAAACGUUUGCAAAUUGGGCCCGAGUUUGCAUCCCAGCUCUGCCACACCCUACAGGCUGGGGAAAAUUAGUCCAGUUCUUUAUUCUUAGCCUCGGUUUUCUAAUCAGUAAAAUUGGAAAGAUGAUAACCCAAUUCACAGGGGCUGUUGUCAAGAUUAAGAAGGAUUAGGUUUAAUUUUAUUUAUGGGAAGUACUUAACAACAGACAACUGAAAUCAUGUAAGUGCUACUGCACUAGCUAUUGUUACUCUAUACUGAUUUAUGUUCUAAUCUUUCCUGACAGGAGUAAUUAUUUACAUUGUAACUCAAAUGAAAAUGCCUUUCAUUCCUUCCUAAAUUAGUCAAACUGACGGUAGUAAAGAUACAUGACAGGAAUAAGGCAUCAGCAAAUCAUCUAGAAAGCAUAAAGUACUUAUAAGAAAGACUAAUUUUACAGUUAGUAAAUAUUAGCGUUAAUUAGGACUCACUAAAUUAGUCAACCCUAAAAGUUUGGUUCCCGUGUCCUGCUAAAGUGGAACUUCUUUUAAAAACCUGGUUUGGUUUUUUUUUUUUUUUUUUACAAAAAUUAGCAUAUG
Ailuropoda melanoleuca (giant panda) is the source of this 1220-nucleotide long non-coding RNA. RefSeq lists it as uncharacterized. The record is from RefSeq and is a predicted model, not a curated record. The transcript has 3 exons. NCBI's taxonomy places the organism in Eukaryota, Metazoa, Chordata, Mammalia, Carnivora, Ursidae.